This 519-nucleotide ribosomal RNA is filed under the name uncultured eukaryote. Its description in RNAcentral is "SSU rRNA". It matches the Rfam family "Eukaryotic small subunit ribosomal RNA", at positions 1161 to 1699 of the family's 1831-position model. The record is from RNAcentral.
AGGGCACCACCAGGAGUGGAGCCUGCGGCUUAAUUUGACUCAACACGGGAAAACUCACCCGGCCCGGACACUGGAAGGAUUGACAGAUUGAGAGCUCUUUCUUGAUUCAGUGGGUGGUGGUGCAUGGCCGUUCUUAGUUGGUGGAGUGAUUUGUCUGGUUAAUUCCGAUAACGAACGAGACUCUAGCCUACUAAAUAGAUCGUCGGCUUACAAACGCCGGCGAGACUUCUUAGAGGGACAGGCGGUGAUUCAACCGCACGAAACAGAGCAAUAACAGGUCUGUGACGCCCUUAGAUGUCCGGGGCCGCACGCGCGCUACACUGGAGUGAUCAGCGUGCUUUUUCAACCUACUCUGUCAAGAGUGGGGAACCCAAUGAACCUUCUUCGUGAUUGGGAUAGGGGAUUGUAAUUAUUCCCCUUGAACGAGGAAUUCCCAGUAAGCGCGAGUCAUAAGCUCGCGUUGAUUACGUCCCUGCCCUUUGUACACACCGCCCGUCGCUACUACCGAUUGAAUGUUUU